UUUUUUUAAUUUUCUCUCUUUAUCAUGUGAGUCUCUGAAAUAAAUCCCUGUUCAUCAGCCUUGGCAGCAGCCACUGUUACCCACUGAGUCAUCUUGCUGAUCCCAAUCUUUUCCUUUUUUAAGAUUAAAAAUUUUAAAUUUAUGUAUAUGUAUAUUCAUGUGUGCAGGUGCCCCUGGAAGCCACAAGAGGGCAGCAGAUCUCUCAGAGCCGGAGUUACAGGUUGUUGGGACCCUUCAGUAUGGGCUGGCAACUGACCUCCCUGCCAUCCUCUGCAGCACAGCAGCAGCAACCCGAAUCAUUAUUAAAGCACCCUAGAAUGCUACUGAAUGCUUGAGGAGAAUUCUGGAAAGACUAAAUGAAAUCGUGUAAAGCCCUUGACCAGUGGUUAAUGACCGCCCACCACCCACCAGAGGGAGUGGAAAAGAAAGGAUAUGGGGGAAGUGGACCUGUUUAGAAAUUAUUCUUGUAAAUCCCACCUUGGUGGUCUGGAAAUCAGCAGUUCAGCAGUGGCAGCUCGAUCCACUCACAAACAUUUCAUGAAUACACCAGCAGUCCAGUUUGGGAGCUGGGAUAGCAAACACAAUCGGCAGAGGUAGCACCACCUAGCUGAGACAGCCAGACCUCAGCUGAAUUGGCACAAGUCAACAGGGACCAGGGACGAGAGGAACACCAGAAGUUCUUGGCGGUGCCUGUCUCAGUGAAGAUCAGCAAAGAUGCGAGGCCAAGAAGUGUUGCAGAGUUAGAUCUACAAGCAAAGCCUCUCACAAUCCACUGAGUCCUGUUUAUACUCCCUCCAAACAUCACGUGUCCUCCACAGGUCUAGCCUCAGCACUUGUGUCUGUCUCAGCUGACUUCACUCUGCCAGUCAGCCCCAGUCUGAGGAAGCAGCAGAAGCCACAGCACGCCACCACAAGUUUUUUGGUGCAUUUCUUUCUACGAAAUCCUAACAAAUGGAGCUCAACUACACUCUGUAAGGAGGACUAAUACAGGUGCACUGUUAUCAAAGACUCCUUCAUCACGUGUCUGCUUUAGCAGAACACCCUUUUACCUCCGUCUGCUUCAGGAAAACAACCCUUCAUGUGUUUGCCCCAGCAAAACACUAUCCCACACAAUUGAUUUUCCAAAGAACUCUCACAUUUCUACUUCAUAAUAUAUUAUGUAAGGGUCCAUGAUUUGCAGAAUGAUACCCCAGACUCAAAUAGUUUGUAAACACAAAGAGUGUUUUAUUUUGCAGAAGUCCAGCCUGCUGAACCAUCUACAAAGAUGGAGUCCCAGAAUGAGCUUACAAGCCUGAUUUAAAGCACUUUAGGGGAAUUCCUGGGAUAGGUGACCUCUAUCUUAAUCUGUUCACUCCAUCUUUAGGGACAUCCUGAACCAUUGCUGGGGCAUGGGGGGAAGGGGCUGGAAACUGGUGCUGGGGAAAUCUGGAAACUAUUGUUGAAGUCUGGAAACGGCUCCUGACGCAUUCAUUGUCCUUGCCUCAGGCCAAGUGAUGGGGCAUCUUCUGAGGCCUGGACUUGCCCAGUUCUUGGAAACUGAGAUUUAGGUCUAGUCUUCCGAACUGCCAAUGUGAAGCCUGUCAUGGAGUCAGCCAGUCUCAAUUAUACAGAACAAAACAAGUAAGUUUCUAGAUGUAUUGGGUAGGAGUAGGUUAAGGGGGGGAUGCUCCCAUCUUGGAGCAUGUAUUCUCAGGAGUGACUACGAAUAUAAAUAAGAUAAAAAGAACAUGGGUAGAUGGAUGUGGCAGCUUGUAUCUGCAAUAGUAUUCAGUAGGCUGACAGGGAAGGAUCGUCUCAAUUGAAGUGAGAUUCUAUCGAAAGGAAAAACAAGAGAAGACAUACAUAAAGGUAGCACACCGCCUUGAAAUGUCAGUUUUACCGAGAGGCUUUGGAGUAAAGCAGAGCUUAGGCUAUCCUGUGAAAGAUGAGUCAUGGGACUGCUUUUAAAAUAAUGAGUAUACUCUCGAAUGGCCUUUCCCUUUCCCCCUGCCCCAAUAAACCUCUUCGGUUAGAUCUGUUGCAUCAUU
Long non-coding RNA from Apodemus sylvaticus (European woodmouse), 2027 nucleotides. RefSeq lists it as uncharacterized. The transcript has 3 exons. The record is from RefSeq and is a predicted model, not a curated record. NCBI's taxonomy places the organism in Eukaryota, Metazoa, Chordata, Mammalia, Rodentia, Muridae.